Molecule: ribosomal RNA, 498 nt
Filed under: uncultured bacterium
Lineage: Bacteria
Description: partial 16S ribosomal RNA
Rfam family: Bacterial small subunit ribosomal RNA
Source: RNAcentral
GAUGAACGCUAGCGGCAGGCCUAAUACAUGCAAGUCGAACGAUAGAAGAGGGCUUGCUCUCUUCGAAAGUGGCGCACGGGUGCGUAACGCGUAUGCAACCUACCUUAAUCAGGGGGAUAGCCCGAAGAAAUUCGGAUUAACACCGCAUAAAAUCACAGUACAACAUUGUACAAUGAUCAAAUAUUUAUAGGAUUAAGAUGGGCAUGCGUGACAUUAGCUAGUUGGCGGGGUAACGGCCUACCAAGGCGACGAUGUCUAGGGGAUCUGAGAGGAUGACCCCCCACACUGAGACUGAGACGCCGAUCAGACUACUACGGGAGGCAGCAGUAGGGAAUAUUGGUGAAUGGAGGCAACUCUAAACCAUCCAUGCCGCGUGCAGGAAGACGGCCCUCUGGGUUGUAAACUGCUUUUAUUCGGGAAUAAACCUCAUUAUGUAUAGUGAGCUGAAUGUACCGAAGGAAUAAGGAUCGGCUAACUACGUGCCAGCCGCCGCAGUAA